RNAcentral lists this ribosomal RNA (659 nucleotides) under uncultured fungus. RNAcentral's name for it is "LSU rRNA". It matches the Rfam family "Eukaryotic large subunit ribosomal RNA", at positions 23 to 664 of the family's 3401-position model. The record is from RNAcentral. Lineage: Eukaryota; Fungi.
ACCCGCUGAACUUAAGCAUAUCAAUAAGCGGAGGAAAAGAAACUAACAAGGAUUCCCCUAGUAACUGCGAGUGAAGCGGGAAAAGCUCAAAUUUGAAAUCUGGCGGUCCUUGGCCGUCCGAGUUGUAAUCUAGAGAAGUGUUACCCGCGCUGGACCGUGUACAAGUCUCCUGGAAUGGAGCAUCAUAGAGGGUGAGAAUCCCGUCUCUGACACGGACUACCAGGGCUUUGUGGUAUGCUCUCAAAGAGUCGAGUUGUUUGGGAAUGCAGCUCAAAAUGGGUGGUAAAUUCCAUCUAAAGCUAAAUAUUGGCGAGAGACCGAUAGCGAACAAGUACCGUGAGGGAAAGAUGAAAAGAACUUUGGAAAGAGAGUUAAACAGUACGUGAAAUUGCUGAAAGGGAAACGCUUGAAGUCAGUCACGUUGGCCGGGGAUCAGCUUCGCACUAUGCGUGGUGUACUUCCUGGUUGACGGGUCAGCAUCAAUUUUGACCGCUGGAAAAAGGCUUAGGGAAUGUGGCAGCUCCGGCUGUGUUUAUAGCCCUUGGUCACAUACAUCGGUUGAGAUUGAGGAACUCAGCACGCCGCAAGGCCGGGUUUCGACCACGAUCAUGCUUAGGAUGCUGGCGUAAUGGCUCUAAGCGACCCGUCUUGAAACACGG